RNAcentral lists this small nuclear RNA (123 nucleotides) under Tupaia belangeri chinensis (Chinese tree shrew). Its description in RNAcentral is "Tupaia chinensis (Chinese tree shrew) U2 spliceosomal RNA". It matches the Rfam family "U2 spliceosomal RNA". From Rfam's summary of the family: U2 is a small nuclear RNA (snRNA) component of the spliceosome (involved in pre-mRNA splicing). Complementary binding between U2 snRNA (in an area lying towards the 5' end but 3' to hairpin I) and the branchpoint sequence (BPS) of the intron results the bulging out of an unpaired adenosine, on the BPS, which initiates a nucleophilic attack at the intronic 5' splice site, thus starting the first of two transesterification reactions that mediate splicing. Lineage: Eukaryota; Metazoa; Chordata; Mammalia; Scandentia; Tupaiidae. The record is from Rfam by way of RNAcentral.
AUCGCUUCUCGGCCUUUUGGCUAAGAUCAAGUGUAAAAAUACAAAGAAAUGGCUUUUUUUAAGGUUCAUUUAAAAAUGUUUCUCUGAGAAUGAGAGUGCUCCCCCUUUCUCAGCACAGUUUUU